This 859-nucleotide long non-coding RNA is filed under the name Salmo salar (Atlantic salmon). RNAcentral describes it as "lncRNA (ENSSSAG00000108643.1)". The record is from RNAcentral. Lineage: Eukaryota; Metazoa; Chordata; Actinopteri; Salmoniformes; Salmonidae.
GGGAAAGGGAGCUGCUUACAUUGAUUUUUCAAAGAUGGAGAAGUAAUAUUGAAACAUUUACUAACUAUCAGAGGCUGAGGAUCUCUCUUUUGGCUGCUGCUGCUACUGACAGCCACUGCUUAACCAGUCUUGCAACAACCCAUACUGUACUGGCGGAAGGCUGCCUAGCGGUUUAGGAGUGGUUCCUGAUGCAGGAGUUUGACCUGUGGCCGAAAAGUGGAAUUGAUCUGACAAUUGGAGGGCUGCUGCACUGCAGCUUGAACAUAUGCUCGUCUCAACUAUAUGUGUGAGGUCUGCUGUUUAUGGGGGUUGAGAAUGGAGCAGAAGACACAUUUUUGUUGUUCAUUGUAACUAAUGGGCAAAGUUGUAUUGGAUUGCAUUGUAUUGUAUUCUAAAGAAGUCAUCCAGAGUUGACAUGGGCCAUCAUUCAAACAAAGAGAUGUCUCCCUGGCCACCAGUGCAAAUUUUCAAACUAUGUUUGAAUAUAAUGACAAUACAUUCCUAAAACUAUGCUGGUAUAUUUUUUUCCGUUAUUGAAUAGUUUAUUAAAUGAUGCUGUUAGUUAAAAAAUAUUACUAUUUAAUAGUAGCAGCCAUAAUUCAUAAAAUGGCACCAUGCAGGAUUCUAUAUGGAAUCAUUUAGGUUCAGUGAAGAAGAACCAUUAGGGUUCUGACCAAAGAACCCUAUGAAAUGGUUCUGUAUAGAACUUUUAGAGGUUCCAUAUAUGAAGCAAGAGAUAGAACCCUUUUUGGUUCGUUAAGGAACUUUUUUUCUAAGUUUGUGAGAAACCUGUUGAAACUAGCUGUCAGUGGACUGACAAAUGGUGUAUGGUCCCAGAAGGCCAGACCCACUCUGGUUU